RNAcentral lists this long non-coding RNA (217 nucleotides) under Capsicum annuum. RNAcentral's name for it is "long non-coding RNA (CANN_LNC017060)". The record is from RNAcentral. Lineage: Eukaryota; Viridiplantae; Streptophyta; Magnoliopsida; Solanales; Solanaceae.
UUUAGUUAUGGUCAGUAGGGUCACAUACAGUGGGAGUGUCUCAUAAGGACUGUCACUAGGGAAAAUAGGAUUCUGGUUUCCACUUCUCUAGUUCCUGCACCAAGGGGUGCUACUUUUAGCCACAAUACUGGUCAGGACCAUCCUAAUGAUAUCACUAUCCCUCAAAAGUCCAAGGUAUUUUUUGAUGUUGUUAAUUGUAUGUUAAAACUCUUUUCCC